Molecule: long non-coding RNA, 3843 nt
Filed under: Macaca fascicularis (crab-eating macaque)
Lineage: Eukaryota; Metazoa; Chordata; Mammalia; Primates; Cercopithecidae
Description: lncRNA (ENSMFAG00000059137.1)
Source: RNAcentral
UUUUUUUUUUUUUUUUUUGAUACGGAGUUUUGCUCUCAUCACCCAGACUGUGGAGUGCAAUGGCACAAUCUCAGCUCACUGCAACCUCCGCCUCCAAAGUUCAAGCGAUUCUCCUGCCUCAGCCUCCUGAGUUGCUGGGAUUACAGGAAUGCGCCAUCACGCCCAGCUAAUUUUUUGUAUUUUUAGUAGAGAUGGGGUUUCACCAUUUUGGCGGGGCUGGUCUUGAACUCCUGACAUCAGGUGAUCUGCCCAUCUUGGCCUCCCAAAGUGCUGAGAUUACAGGUGUGAAACACUGUGCCCGGCCGGAUCUUUUUAUUUUUAGCUUUGGUAAUUACAUUUCACCAAUUCUGUGGUUUCACAAGGUGCCCAGGCAAUUUAUAUGCCAAUUAGUGAUUGAGAAACAUUGGUAUAGCACAGGGUGGCAAUAAGGUGCGUAAUUCUAUGCCCCCCCACCCUUUUUUUUGAGACACAGUCUUGCUCUGUCACCAGGCUGGAGUGCAGUGCUGCCAUCUUGCUCACUGCAACCUCCACCUCUUGGGUUCAAGUGAUUCUCCUGCCUCAGCCUCCUGAGUAGCUGGGACUACAGGUGUGCACCACCACGCCCUGCUAAUUUUUGUAUUUUUAGUAGAGACGGGGUUUCACCAUGUUGGCCAGGAUGGUCUUGAUCUCUUGACCUCGUGAUCCGCCCGCCUUGGCCUCCCAAAGUGCUGGGAUUACAGGCGUGAGCCACUGCACCCGGCCAAUUCUACCCCCUUUUAAUGGUCUAGAACAGAGAUUCUCAACCUCAGUACUUAAUGGCAGUUUGGGCCAGAUCAUUCUUUGCUGUGGUGACUGUUCCUGUGUAUUAUUAUAUUUAGCCACAUCUCUGGCCUCUACCACAACUGUGAUAACCAAAGUGUCUGUAGACAUUGCCAAAUGUCCCUGAGGGACAAAACAGUUCCCAGCUAAGAACCACUGGUUAGCAGGACAGCCUGUUGUAGUCCCAGCUACUUGGGAGGCUGAGGCACAAGAAUCGCUUGAACCCAGGAGGCAGAGGUUGUAGUGACCUGAGAUCAUGCCACUGCACUCCAGUCCAGGUGACAAAGUGAGACUUCAUCUCAGGGAAAAAAAAAAAAUUUUUUUUUCUUCCACAGCCAAAUUUCUGCAUUAUCACUUACCCAAAAGUCCUAGCUUAUGGGCUACUCUGACUUCAGAUGGGUCCAGUAGUUGAUUAGUCCAAAUACCAACCAUACAUGAUUUCAAUAUUAAGAUUAUUUUAGCUACCUAGGGAUUCCGAAUUCCCCAAAUCUCUGAAAUUGCUUGUAAUAAGUAUCUACAGAAUUGUGUUAAUAGUCAUCUUAGUAAAAGGCAGUACUGAUACAGUACUGUACUAUAUGUUUAGUAAAUCUUUGAUUAACAAGUGCACAUAGGUAUAAUUCUUUGUAUUUUUGGAAAAAUAGGCAAUCUGAGAAAAAUAAAUAUUGGAGGUUUAAACUAGUAAAGCUGUCUUUGGCCUGUGGCAAGAAGUAGAGACGACCCUAAAGAAAAUGGUGGAAGAUUCUCAGGCUCUACCUGUCCCCAGAGACUGCUUUAGACAAUUGGUGGCGGGGGAGAACUUUUGGAAUCUGUUUAAUAUGCUGCCUAGGUGAUUCAAGCAGCUAGGGUUGGAAAUGACUUGUUUUUGCCCUGUUUGGGUUCUCUUUACUCCCUUCAAACUCUUAUAGUAAUUGGUAUUAAAUGAAUAUUCUACAAAAGCACCCUAAUAGUCUGACUCUGUCUACUCAAGGAUAUAUGGCUCCCACAAUUCUCUGCUCCUGCAUUUGCCCUGGGUAAGGAGCACUAGAUGCAAACCCAUGUCUCAGGCAAAGAUACAGCUCCAGCAGUCCUCUCCUCUCUCUAUUGCAUCUAUUUUCUUUCUCUACUAAAUCAUUUCCAAAAGCAUAAUAAGCAUGUUAUUAAAAAAUCUUUUGAUCCUAUAUCGCUUGCUAGUGAUUAUUUUACUGCUCCACUUUAUAAAAGCAAAACUCAAGAAUUUUCUAAACUUCCCCCAGUUUAUUACCCCCUCCUUUUUUUCACCAACUUGUUUUAUUAGGAAAAAAAAAUUCAAACAGAAAAGUUGAAAGACUUUCCCACAUAAAAUACUUCCCUAAUUUAACAUCAAGUCCUUAUUUCACAUUUUUCCAUGUGUCUCUUUUUUAAAUAGCUACCCUCAUCCCCCGAAUAGGAUUCAAUUAAGAUUCUUACUUUCUGGAAAUACUAGGCCUGUUGUCUUCUUGAGUUUUUCUUUGUAGUGUCAUUAAUUUUAACUUCUAAUAUCCCUUUGAACUUCCUGUAAACUGAAAGGUCUAAAGUUUUUGUAAGUUUCAGGUUAAACUUGUGCAGGAGUGCAAGGUGAUGCUACGGUCUCCAUAUUGCAUCACACAGUUACGGCUUUUCCAGGCUAAGUUUGGACACUUGGUUAGGUCAUCUGAUAGGUGAUUAGACUUUGUCUCCACUCCGUUACUCUUAGUAAAAUGCAGCAAAGAUUUCCACUUUGUUUAAUCAGCAGCCAGCAUUUGACCUUGAAGCACUCUUCAGUUGGCUUGCAAAAUACUACACUUGCUUGAUGUUUCUCCUUUACUGGCUGCUCCUUCUCAGUCUGUCGUUUGCUGCUGGCCCAAUCCUGAUUUCCCUGAAUUUUGCUAAAACAUAAGUGUGCCCCCGAGCUCGACCUUGGGCUGCGUGCCUCCUCUCGUAGUACUCAUCUUGGUGAUCUCAUCUCAUCACAUAAGGACAUCAGAUUAUAUUAACCUCUCCAUGUGACAUCUUCAGUUAGGUAUCUAGUAGACACCUCGAAAUUUAUGUCUAAAACUUAUUUUUGCCUCUGAAAUUUUUCCUCUCAGUCAUCCUCAAUCACUUAAUGGCCACUCCAUUCUUUGUUUCAAGGCAGAAACGGUCUUGGACUCCUCACAUCCUUCAUCUAAUCUUAGUUCCACCUAAAAUGUUAACAUCUCUACUGCCAUUACCCUAAUCCAAGACACUAUCAUAGUUUGAUUAUUUCCGUGGUUUCUUAACCGGUCUUUGUUUUGCCUCAUUUUGUCUCCUCUUACCCAUCCUAUUCUCUCAUAGCAACCAGACUGAUCCUUUAAAACUCUUAAGUCUUGUUUAGAUGGCUUCCUACCUAAGUAAAAGAAACUUCACAAAGGUCUGUGGAGCCCUAAAUUACCUGCACUCAACCCCACCUCAUUCAAUUCCUAUUGAAUUCCUCCUGCUCACUCUACCUUGUCCACAUUGGCCACCUUUGCUCUUCUUCCAGCGUAGCUAGCCGUAGGAUUUUUGUUAGUGCUAGUGUCUGCCUAGCAUGCUCUUCUCCCACAAAACUUCAUGGAAAAUUUUUUCCUCACUCGACAUUUUGCACAAAUGUCAUCUCAAUGAGGCCCGCUCUGACCACUCUGUUUAAAAUUGCAGCCUGAACAUCCUGGUGCUCUGCCCUGCAUUUGUUUGUUUUACUCCCUCUGCUAAAUGCAAUGAAGGCAGGGAUCUUUGCUCACUGGCAUACAGUGCCUGGCACAUGGCACAUGCUUGGUAUUUUUUGAAUGAAUUUCACCCUACUUCAAUUCAGGGUUUUCAGAUCAGUAUUUCUUAAAUGAAAGAUUUAGUAAAGCAGAAUACUUCCUUUUUAAGAUAUUUUGGUAGAGGUUUCCUGAAUUACAGAAUGGACACAGAAUUGAACUGACAUUUCAUAGGCUGUCUUGAGGGUUUUGUGCUCCAUUAAUGAUUACCACAAAGGAGCUUCAUGUUUUAAUUUACUCUUUUGUGUAUUCAUUGUGAAAAUGGGGCAGUUUUCGACUGGGCAUGGUGGCUCAUGCCUGUAAUCCCAGCACU